RNAcentral lists this ribosomal RNA (460 nucleotides) under uncultured bacterium. RNAcentral's name for it is "partial 16S ribosomal RNA". It matches the Rfam family "Bacterial small subunit ribosomal RNA", at positions 338 to 795 of the family's 1533-position model. The record is from RNAcentral.
CCUACGGGUGGCAGCAGUGAGGAAUAUUGGUCAAUGGACGAGAGUCUGAACCAGCCAAGUAGCGUGAAGGAUGACUGCCCUAUGGGUUGUAAACUUCUUUUAUAUGGGAAUAAAACGUUCCACGUGUGGGAUUUUGUAUGUACCAUAUGAAUAAGGAUCGGCUAACUCCGUGCCAGCAGCCGCGGUAAUACGGAGGAUCCGAGCGUUGUCCGGAUUUAUUGGGUUUAAAGGGAGCGUAGGUGGAUUGUUAAGUCAGUUGUGAAAGUUUGCGGCUCAACCGUAAAAUUGCAGUUGAAACUGGCAGUCUUGAGUACAGUAGAGGUGGGCGGAAUUCGUGGUGUAGCGGUGAAAUGCUUAGAUAUCACGAAGAACUCCGAUAGCGAAGGCAGUUCACUGGACUGCAACUGACACUGAGGCUCGAGAGUGUGGGUAUCAAACAGGAUUAGAUACCCCAGUAGUC